Molecule: ribosomal RNA, 253 nt
Filed under: uncultured bacterium
Lineage: Bacteria
Description: partial 16S ribosomal RNA
Rfam family: Bacterial small subunit ribosomal RNA
Source: RNAcentral
UACAGAGGGGGCAAGCGUUGUUCGGAAUUACUGGGCGUAAAGGGCGCGUAGGCGGCCUGUUAAGUCGAACGUGAAAUCCCCGGGCUCAACCCGGGAACUGCGUCCGAUACUGGCUGGCUGGAAUCCGGGAGAGGGAUGCGGAAUUCCAGGUGUAGCGGUGAAAUGCGUAGAUAUCUGGAGGAACACCGGUGGCGAAGGCGGCAUCCUGGACCAAUUCUGACGCUGAGGAGCGAAAGCCAGGGGAGCAAACGGG